Cinara cedri is the source of this 540-nucleotide non-coding RNA. NCBI's taxonomy places the organism in Eukaryota, Metazoa, Arthropoda, Insecta, Hemiptera, Aphididae. The record is from the annotation of a GenBank genome assembly.
GUACCUUGUUUUUAUAAUACAAUGAAAGAAAGGAACAUACCAUGCGACAGUUCAUCGCCCGAUCGCUGACACUUCAUCGUAUAUCACUUUGUCGACUAAAAAUUGCAUUGUACAAUACUACAGCGGCCAUUUUAUUCGCGAGACAAUUCAUCGUGUAAUUAUUUCAUCGCAUGAAAUAUUAUCAAUUUGGAGAGAUACUAUUUAUUCAGAAUGAACACAUAAGGUACUAAGUACUAAGUACCCAUGUAUUUAUUUUUAUUACCAAUUUAUAAAAUGUAUAAUUUUAUCUCUCGCGAGUAUACUGCAAUAUGUGAAACUGUUACAACAUUAUAGUGCAAUUUACAAUAGUACUCAAGAAUUCUAAAAAAAUGUAAUAAAAUGAUGGUCAUACGCAGGUGCACCCACUGUUGUAGAUGGGAAAUUGGGUAGGUAAGAUACAGAAAAUAAUUUAAUGUAUAUCUGUAAGCAACGAUUACCCAUUGCUAACAAAAACGAUUUUAAGGGGAGUUCAGUUGAUAAUGAUGCUUUGUCAACAAUAUA